This 355-nucleotide unclassified non-coding RNA is filed under the name soil metagenome. RNAcentral's name for it is "partial contains 5.8S ribosomal RNA, internal transcribed spacer 2, and large subunit ribosomal RNA". The stretch from base 1 to 120 matches the Rfam family "5.8S ribosomal RNA", at positions 35 to 154 of the family's 154-position model. The record is from RNAcentral.
GAUGAAGAACGCAGCGAAAUGCGAUAAGUAGUGUGAAUUGCAGAAUUCAGUGAAUCAUCGAAUCUUUGAACGCACAUUGCGCCUUCUAGUAUUCUGGGAGGCAUGCCUGUUUGAGCGUCAUUAAACCUCUCUCAAGUAUGAUUACUUGGAUGUGAAGGAAGAGUACCUUAAACUUAAGGAGUGUUCUCCUUUGGAAUUGAUUAGCAGAUGGUAAUGUUAUUAAAUCCCUGAUGUUGUAAGAAAUAACAGUGGUUUUGUAGACUAUUAUCUAGCUUUAAAUUAUAAUUUUUAUUAUGGUUGACCUCAAAUCAGGUAAGGAUACCCGCUGAACUUAAGCAUAUCAAUAAGCGGAGGA